GCUUGUCUCAAAGAUUAAGCCAUGCAUGUCUAAGUGUAAAUACGUCUACACUGUGAAACUGCGAAUGGCUCAUUAAAUCAGUUAUCGUUUAUUUGAUGAUCUCUCGUUACAUGGAUAACCGUAGUAAUUCUAGAGCUAAUACAUGCGUCAAGCCCCGACUCACGAAGGGGUGUAUUUAUUAGAUUCAAAACCAACCGGGGCAACCGGUCCUUUGGUGAUUCAUGAUAACUUUGCGAAUCGCAUAGCUUUAAUGCUGGCGAUGGGUCAUUCAAAUUUCUGCCCUAUCAACUUUCGACGGUAGGAUAGAGGCCUACUGUGGUGAUAACGGGUAACGAAGAAUAAGGGUUCGAUUUCGGAGAGGGAGCCUGAGAAACGGCUACCACAUCCAAGGAAGGCAGCAGG
This 402-nucleotide ribosomal RNA is filed under the name uncultured Cryptophyta. RNAcentral's name for it is "partial small subunit ribosomal RNA". It matches the Rfam family "Eukaryotic small subunit ribosomal RNA", at positions 30 to 432 of the family's 1831-position model. Lineage: Eukaryota; Cryptophyceae. The record is from RNAcentral.